CUACGGGGCGCAGCAGUUGCGAAUUCUCUACAAUGCGCGAAAGCGUGAUAGGGGGAUUUCAAGUGCAAGCUUUGCUUGCUUUUGUAUAGUCUAAACCGCUAUACGAAUAAAUGGAGGGUAAGAUACGUGCCAGCCGCCGCGGUAAUACGUACUCCAUAAGUGGUGCGCACUAAUAUUGGGCCUAAAGCGUCUGUAGCCUGUCUGAAAAGUUUUUGGUGAAAUCUGCAAGCCCAACUUGUAGGCGAGCCAAAAAUACUCUUAGACUCGAGGCCGGGAGAAGUCAAAGGAAUUCCUGAGGUAGCGGUGAAAUGCUAUGAUCUUAGGAGGACCACCAGUAGCGAAGGCGUUUGACUAGAACGGACCUGACGGUGAGAGACGAAAGCUGGGGGAUCGACCCGGAUUAGAUACCCCGGUAGUC
This 418-nucleotide ribosomal RNA is filed under the name uncultured archaeon. RNAcentral's name for it is "partial 16S ribosomal RNA". It matches the Rfam family "Archaeal small subunit ribosomal RNA", at positions 323 to 746 of the family's 1478-position model. The record is from RNAcentral.